AAGAUGCAGCAGAAGAAGCAAUCAGAGAGAUUGGAAGCAUAAGAAGGAUUUGACACACGUUUGUUGCCUCUGAGAUGCAUGGGCCAAGUGCAAGGACCUGAGAGUGGCCUCUAGGAGUUGACAUCUGCUGCACACCUGUGCUAUAGCCUUGAGGCCUGAAUAGAAGCCGACUUCUCCACUGGGAGGUUUCCCUACAUUACCACUCGGUGAUAUAGAAGUUUCUUCUAUCCCAGUGCCUGACUCUGACAAUCUGAACUGAUGAAAGGUUGUGAUAGUUGGAAAAUGGAUGAGCUUGAAGCUGGUAAAAACAAGAAUGGAAUCCAAUCAAAAGAGUUUAGAUCAAUUGAUUUUACUUCUCUUUGAACUUUGCUUAACAGAAAAAUGUGGGCGACGAUAUCAGGAUUCAAGAUACAACAUACAUAAAGUUGUCAGCAGGUGUUAAUUUUUUCCUUUUGCAGCACCUUUAUCUUCUUUUAUUUUUAGUCACUUUUAUUCUUUGACCCAUCAAUAUCAUCACAUCUCAUCUUUUUCAAAUCGGGUACUUUGGAUCAGUUUCUAGUCUAUACAUAAUCCCAGAGAUAAGAAAAGUUCCUUUAUUUGAGGAUAAUUUGUCAUGAACAUUACUAUCAUGUUUUGACAUUUAUCAAAUAUUUGCUGGUUUGGGAAAGAGACCAUUAGUAUAUAAAACCUCAACAUCGCAUCUACUGUAUUGCUUAGGCAGGCAGAAGAAUAAAUGAAAUUAAAGCAUUUGUUCUUCUAAAUUAUGAGGUGAUCUCAUGUUCUUCAUUCACAUAUGUAAUAUUACUCUUUAAUCUUCUCCAAAAUAUGUUCUUAUCUGUCAGCUGAUUUAAUUUGACCCUCCCAGACCACUUUAGGAAAUUGUUUGAUACUUUUUUUUUGUUGUUACAGUCAAGGAAACUGAGACACAAAAAGACACAAAAGACGCAUACCCAGCUUUAGUGUCUUGCCCAAAGAAUCCAAGGCUCACCAGUGCUAGAUAGGUUUUUUUAAUCCCCAGAGGAGCUACAGACACCUUAAAUGCUAUGCCAUUUGCAGUAAGUAUUUGCACAUAGUCAUGCAUUAAUCAUGUUAAUAUUAAUGUUAUAAACACCCAUGCAUCUAUUUUAAGGUGCACCAAGGUAACAGUUUGGCCACACGCAUUAUUUUCUUUUCGGAUUUUUAAUCAUUCAUAAUAUCUAGCCAAUAACAAUUUCAGUACAAAUGGAUUAGUGAGCAUAUUACAAUCACUUCUACCUAUAGUUAUUGCCCUUGGAAAGACUUUAUUCUCAGCUAUUUAUUAAGAGCUUCAAAACUCUUAGCAUAACAUAAAUUAAAUCAGAUUAUUUAAAAUGGUCACUAGUGCAUUAUAAUAGUUCUUGGUUGCAAAUGUAUGUUUUGUUAUUUUUGAGUCCUUUGAUUAUGACUAUACAUUAGCAAUAAAUAUAAAUAUAUCAUCAAUCCAGCUUUGAAAUCAAAGAUUUUUAGCCAAUUUACCCUAUGUAAGUUCAUAAAGCAAUAUCACCUUCUAACUUAAAGAUAAAGUGACUUAAAACCGACUGAGCAGAUGUGUUUAAAUGCUCUUGCACCAAUUCUAGUGUCUCCCAAGCAGAGAAACACUGUAAGAAAAGAAAACAAACUCACAGAUUCCCUUCUCUCAUCUACAUUCAGCCCAAGCAUGAAAAGUAUUACCAGUAGCCAAAAAAUGUAAUUUAAUUCACUCCUACUUGGAUUUCCACCUGGACUUCAUCAUACAACAAUGAGAAAAGAAUAUGUUAAAUGCAUACAGCCUAUAUAACAUUUUUAAUGAAAUGUUGGUAUGCCCCUCUACCAAAUGGUCUGAAAAGACAAAACCCUUCUGCAAAGUAAAAAGCUAUUUGUGGGAAUCAGAAAGAUAUGUGGCUUUAAGCAAUAUUUCUAUUUAAGCAAAAUAUCAGGAGUUCUUCAUUUAAUAAAUGUAUGUUCACAGUCAGAACAUCUAAGUAAAAGCAUAUAUGAAAUUAAAGUUCAGUUUAAAC
Molecule: long non-coding RNA, 2015 nt
Filed under: Homo sapiens (human)
Lineage: Eukaryota; Metazoa; Chordata; Mammalia; Primates; Hominidae
Description: HSALNT0053233
Source: RNAcentral